This 464-nucleotide ribosomal RNA is filed under the name uncultured bacterium. Its description in RNAcentral is "partial 16S ribosomal RNA". It matches the Rfam family "Bacterial small subunit ribosomal RNA", at positions 28 to 506 of the family's 1533-position model. The record is from RNAcentral.
GACGAACGCUGGCGGCGUGCUUAACACAUGCAAGUCGUACGGUAAGGCCCUUUCGGGGGUACACGAGUGGCGAACGGGUGAGUAACACGUGAGUAACCUGCCCACAACUUUGGGAUAACGCUAGGAAACUGGUGCUAAUACUGGAUAUGUGCUCCUGCUGCAUGGUGGGGGUUGGAAAGCUCCGGCGGUUGUGGAUGGACUCGCGGCCUAUCAGCUUGUUGGUGGGGUAGUGGCCUACCAAGGCGGCGACGGGUAGCCGGCCUGAGAGGGUGACCGGCCACAUUGGGACUGAGAUACGGCCCAGACUCCUACGGGAGGCAGCAGUGGGGAAUAUUGCACAAUGGGCGCAAGCCUGAUGCAGCAACGCCGCGUGCGGGAUGACGGCCUUCGGGUUGUAAACCGCUUUCAGCAGGGACGAAGCUUUUUGUGGCGGUACCUGCAGAAGAAACACCGGCUAACUACGU